RNAcentral lists this ribosomal RNA (275 nucleotides) under uncultured bacterium. Its description in RNAcentral is "partial 16S ribosomal RNA". It matches the Rfam family "Bacterial small subunit ribosomal RNA", at positions 68 to 339 of the family's 1533-position model. The record is from RNAcentral.
ACAUCGAAAGCUUGCUUUUGAUGGGCGUCGACCGGCGCACGGGUGAGUAACGCGUAUCCAACCUGCCCACCACUUGGGGAUAACCUUGCGAAAGUAAGACUAAUACCCAAUGACGUCUCUAGAAGACAUCUGAAAGAGAUUAAAGAUUUAUCGGUGAUGGAUGGGCCCGCGUCUGAUUAGCUAGUUGGUGAGAUAACGGCCCACCAAGGCGACGAUCGGUAGCCGGACUGAGAGGUUGAACGGCCACAUUGGGACUGAGACACGGCCCAGACUCC